Molecule: ribosomal RNA, 506 nt
Filed under: uncultured bacterium
Lineage: Bacteria
Description: partial 16S ribosomal RNA
Rfam family: Bacterial small subunit ribosomal RNA
Source: RNAcentral
AGUGAACGCUGGCGGUAGGCCUAACACAUGCAAGUCGAACGGCAGCACAGAGGAGCUUGCUCCUUGGGUGGCGAGUGGCGGACGGGUGAGGAAUACAUCGGAAUCUACUCUGUCGUGGGGGAUAACGUAGGGAAACUUACGCUAAUACUGCAUACGACCUACGGGUGAAAGCAGGGGAUCUUCGGACCUUGCGCGAUUGAAUGAGCCGAUGUCGGAUUAGCGAGUUGGCGGGGUAAAGGCCCACCAAGGCGACGAUCCGUAGCUGGUCUGAGAGGAUGAUCAGCCACACUGGAACUGAGACACGGUCCAGACUCCUACGGGAGGCAGCAGUGGGGAAUAUUGGACAAUGGGCGCAAGCCUGAUCCAGCCAUACCGCGUGGGUGAAGAAGGCCUUCGGGUUGUAAAGCCCUUUUGUUGGGAAAGAAAUCCAUCUGGUUAAUACCCGGGUGGGAUGACGGUACCCAAAGAAUAAGCACCGGCUAACUUCGUGCCAGCAGCCGCCGUAA